This 64-nucleotide transfer RNA is filed under the name Cavia porcellus (domestic guinea pig). It matches the Rfam family "tRNA", at positions 1 to 62 of the family's 71-position model. Rfam says of the family: Transfer RNA (tRNA) molecules are approximately 80 nucleotides in length. Their secondary structure includes four short double-helical elements and three loops (D, anti-codon, and T loops). Lineage: Eukaryota; Metazoa; Chordata; Mammalia; Rodentia; Caviidae. The record is from Rfam by way of RNAcentral.
GGGGAUUUAGCUCAGUGGCAUAAGCACCUGCCUUACAAGCAGGCGGUUGUGAGUUCAAUCCCCA